GACGUAGGGUCCAAGCGUUGUCCGGAUUUACUGGGCGUAAAGAGCGCGUAGGCGGUCUGUUAAGUGAGAAGUGAAAUCUCCAGGGCUCAACCCGGAAACUGCUUUUCAUACUGGCAGACUUGAGGGAUGCGGAGGUGAAUGGAAUUCCUGGUGUAGCGGUGAAAUGCGUUGAUAUCAGGAGGAACACCCAUGGCGAAGGCAGUUCACUGGGCAUCAUCUGACGCUGAGGCGCGAAAGCGUGGGUAGCAAACAGG
This 254-nucleotide ribosomal RNA is filed under the name uncultured bacterium. Its description in RNAcentral is "partial 16S ribosomal RNA". It matches the Rfam family "Bacterial small subunit ribosomal RNA", at positions 524 to 776 of the family's 1533-position model. The record is from RNAcentral.